Molecule: ribosomal RNA, 888 nt
Filed under: Haloferax sp. CIBAARC2BR
Lineage: Archaea; Methanobacteriati; Methanobacteriota; Halobacteria; Halobacteriales; Haloferacaceae
Description: bacterial SSU rRNA
Rfam family: Archaeal small subunit ribosomal RNA
Source: RNAcentral
UUUUCCGGGUUGAUCCCGCCGGAAGGUCAUUGCUAUUGGGGUCCGAUUUAGCCAUGCUAGUUGCACGAGCUUACACUCGUGGCGAAAAGCUCAGUAACACGUGGUCAAACUACCCUACAGAGAACGAUAACCUCGGGAAACUGAGGCUAAUAGUUUCAUACGGGAGUCAUGCUUGAAUGCCGACUCCCCGAAACGCUCCGGCGCUGUAGGAUGUGACUGCGGCCGAUUAGGUAGACGGUGGGGUAACGGCCCACCGUGCCGAUAAUCGGUACGGGUUGUGAGAGCAAGAACCCGGAGACGGAAUCUGAGACAAGAUUCCGGGCCCUACGGGGCGCAGCAGGCGCGAAACCUUUACACUGCACGCAAGUGCGAUAAGGGGACCCCAAGUGCGAGGGCAUAUAGUCCUCGCUUUUCUCGACUGUAAGGCGGUCGAGGAAUAAGAGCUGGGCAAGACCGGUGCCAGCCGCCGCGGUAAUACCGGCAGCUCAAGUGAUGACCGAUAUUAUUGGGCCUAAAGCGUCCGUAGCCGGCCAUGAAGGUUCAUCGGGAAAUCCGCCAGCUCAACUGGCGGGCGUCCGGUGAAAACCACAUGGCUUGGGACCGGAAGGCUCGAGGGGUACGUCCGGGGUAGGAGUGAAAUCCCGUAAUCCUGGACGGACCACCGAUGGCGAAAGCACCUCGAGAAGACGGAUCCGACGGUGAGGGACGAAAGCUAGGGUCUCGAACCGGAUUAGAUACCCGGGUAGUCCUAGCUGUAAACGAUGCUCGCUAGGUGUGGCACAGGCUACGAGCCUGUGCUGUGCCGUAGGGAAGCCGUGAAGCGAGCCGCCUGGGAAGUACGUCCGCAAGGAUGAAACUAAAGGAAUGGCGGGAGCACUACAGCUGAGG